AGGUGGUUUUGGGAGUGUGUAUAAAGGUUCAAUUCAGCCUUCUAAUGGAAAGGGUGAUCCUGUUGUGGUUGCUGUUAAGAAACUCAAUACACUUGGAUUGCAGGGCCACCGACAAUGGAUUGCAGAAGUUCAAUUCCUCGGUGUGUUGGAGCACCCUAAUCUUGUUAAACUUCUGGGAUAUUGCGCUACAGAUGGCGAAAGAGGGAUUCAGCGCCUGUUGGUUUACGAAUACAUGCAAAAUAGGAGCUUAGAGGAUCAUCUGUUCAACAAAGCCGUACCUGUAGUUCCUUGGAGAACAAGAUUAAAAAUUAUCCUUGGUGCCGCACAAGGGAUGGCUUAUCUGCACGAGGGACUAGAAGUCCAGGUGAUAUAUCGAGAU
RNAcentral lists this unclassified non-coding RNA (379 nucleotides) under Hevea brasiliensis (rubber tree). Lineage: Eukaryota; Viridiplantae; Streptophyta; Magnoliopsida; Malpighiales; Euphorbiaceae. The record is from RNAcentral.